Molecule: ribosomal RNA, 499 nt
Filed under: uncultured bacterium
Lineage: Bacteria
Description: partial 16S ribosomal RNA
Rfam family: Bacterial small subunit ribosomal RNA
Source: RNAcentral
GACGAACGCUGGCGGCGUGCCUAAUACAUGCCAGUCGAGCGGACCAAACAGGAGCUUGCUCUUGUUUGGUUAGCGGCGGACGGGUGAGUAACACGUGGGUAACCUGCCCGUAAGACCGGGAUAACUCCGGGAAACCGGAGCUAAUACCGGAUAACACCGAAGACCGCAUGGUCUUUGGUUGAAAGGCGGCUUCGGCUGCCACUUACGGAUGGGCCCGCGGCGCAUUAGCUAGUUGGUGAGGUAACGGCUCACCAAGGCGACGAUGCGUAGCCGGCCUGAGAGGGUGACCGGCCACACUGGGACUGAGACACGGCCCAGACUCCUACGGGAGGCAGCAGUAGGGAAUCUUCCGCAAUGGACGAAAGUCUGACGGAGCGACGCCGCGUGAGCGAAGAAGGUCUUCGGAUCGUAAAGCUCUGUUGUUAGGGAAGAAGAAGCGCCGUUCGAACAGGGCGGCGCGGUGACGGUACCUAACGAGAAAGCCCCGGCUAACUACGUG